CACACUUUCCUCCCAGGUGGUGAGAAGUUCUAUACUGUUGGACUAGCGGCCGCAUGCUGGGCGUUUUGGCUUGCUCGAAACACGUCUACUUUUGAAAGGAAACUGAUUAAAAACCCCUUUGAAAUUGUGCUUUCCAUAUGCUCUUUUCUCUUGUAUUGGGCAGGACUACAGCAGGGAGGCGACAUCGACAAGCUGGGAUCAGGUGCCGAGAUGAUUAGGGCAAGCACGAUGCAACUGAUGAGGGUGUGCGAUGAUGCAAGUUGUCCGAUCGGAGGAACAUGA
Molecule: ribosomal RNA, 282 nt
Filed under: Triticum aestivum (bread wheat)
Lineage: Eukaryota; Viridiplantae; Streptophyta; Magnoliopsida; Poales; Poaceae
Description: partial small subunit ribosomal RNA
Source: RNAcentral